RNAcentral lists this long non-coding RNA (2287 nucleotides) under Solanum tuberosum (potato). RNAcentral describes it as "long non-coding RNA (STUB_LNC003837)". The record is from RNAcentral. Lineage: Eukaryota; Viridiplantae; Streptophyta; Magnoliopsida; Solanales; Solanaceae.
UCUCGGGAAUUUAAUUAAAUUAAACCAAAAGAUAAUCAAAUGUUAGUCAAGUACAACAGAAUAAAUAAGAGCAAGGAAAAGAGUAUUGAACUGGGGCCUUUGGCCCAAAUUCCCCAAAUUUGUUGAACCUGUCCUAUUCUAAAAAUUUCUGACAUGAUUUUGGGCCUAUUCGAUCAAAAUUCUGCUGCCGAGCCAUUUUUUCGGACCUUUUUGGGUCCAUUGUCGCUCCCAAGCACCUGUGUAUACAACAAAGGUAUAUUAUUGUUUAUGGACCGUAUUUUGGGAUUUUUUACGGUAUAUCAGACUGUACACUCAAUGUAUACAUCCUAAUGCAGCUCCUCGAGCUCCUGUAUUAAUUUUUGGACCUGCAUAUUAAAAUCCUCCAUGUAUACUAGUGUAUAUUGCUGUAUACAGCAAGUGUACAACCCUUUCCUUGGGCUUUCCGGAAUAUGAAAACUUUAGUUCCAACCCCCUGCAUUUGUCUCAAGAUCCUAGAAUCGAUGGAAAAUAUAGAAUCGGGCUAGGGAGGCCCAAUCCACGGCAUGCGAAGAGGGGGAGCCUCCAAAGACUUGAGAGUAGGCAUGAUUCACAUACACAAGAUAAUCAUAUUAGCCAAUAAAAUAAGACAAGGAAUCAUAAAAAAAAGGACACAAACAAUUAAAUCACGUUGGCAAGCUUACUGGACUUAUACCGAAAGAAGAAACAUAACAAAUUUUACACUAUUACAGACUUGGAAUAAAGUAAGAAUAAGUUUAAAAUAAAUUAAACAACAUCUCUGCAAAUGACUUUUGCUUUCAACAAAUUAAGGGAAAAUGUAACUUAAUGUGUUCCACUAAUUUUAUUUAUUUAUUAAGCAUACAAAGGAACUUGAAACUCAAAUGCUAUCUACUAAUGUGAAAUAAAAACACUUAAAUUUUGGGAAUAAACCGGAGGACUCAAGUCUUAACGAACAAGGGAUAUUUCACAAAUCGUGCAAUGAAAUAUGAUUCGGAGUAAAAUUAAUCUUCAUGAAAUCAAGCGGAUCUGGACAGCAGUAAAUAAAAGACAGAAUACUCAGGUUUUCAGCUACAGCUACAUACAAACUAAGGAGAAAAACAAACGAGAUGAGGAGGAAGAGGCGUGGUUUAUUUUUCUUUAUUAUUAUUUUUUGACAACAUAUUUUAGCGGUUAAUGGACGGACUUCUCAAUUUUACUUUAGUUUAAGAAGACAACAAACCAAAGCAAACCUACUACUCAAACAUGACACCCAUUUUUCAAGUGAACUCGGAAUUGUUAGCACCAAGAAAUGACAUGUUAUAAAAAUCUAAUAACGACUUAAGAAAGAAACUGAAUCUUGCCCUUUAACUUAAUGAUCAAGAAGAUGCAUUACAUCCCUAAUCACUUAGUUCAUUGGGCAAUCUCACAAUGCAGGAAACAGAGAUGUCGGCUCACAUGGAAUCAAAACAAAGUAAAUAGAAUCCCAAUAAUACACCCCCAAAUAUGCAAGCAGACGAGAACUCAUUUUUUUAAUCCGUCAGAAUUCAUUAGUCAAGAUUUAACUCAAAUCACUUAACGAAAAGACACAAGAUGUUGAGCAGGGGAUUUGUACAUAUACAGAAGCAAGGUUUCGAACCCAUUGCGAUUUAAGCAAUAAAAAAAUAAAGGAAAAGGUAUAGUUUGAAGGGUAUGUGAAAACUAAAUUGAUAUUCAAGUAAGACAAUCCGAGCAAACGACUACGAACUCUUCGAAAUUUAUGAUUCUACAACUUAUGCGGUCGAAAUCAAACAAUCAGCACAUUGAGAGACAAAUGACGAUGAGUAGGAAUAGAUGUUACCUUUAAGAGUGCAGCAGAACUGGGGACGGUGACGAGCAGGGGGGACUUCACCACUAAGCAAUUCCGAACGCGAACAGUGGUUAAGAAAUCUAGGUAGGAAUAUCAAACCCAAACACUCAAAGCUAAUAUCUCCUUUCUUUUCCUUGAGUAGUUAGUAGGUAUUCUAGCUAUUUCCUCUUAAGCUAUUCUAUGUAUUUUUAACUCUAAAAUUUCAAAACCAAAGUUCCCCCCUUUACAAAUGAAUAAUCCAAGAAUAUAUAGAAGAAAUUAGAGUUCAGAAUAAUUGGGAAAAAGGACAAAAUCGGGCAAACCAAGGCCCAAUUCCAAAUUCAAAAUGCCAAAAUUCUUUCACAAAUCAGGGAAGACAUCCUUUUUCUGAAGAUUCAACCUCAUUCCGGAAAAGGAAAGGGUUGCUCGACGCUCCGAAUUGAUUCCAUCGUCCUCUCUAUGCCACGUGGCUUAAUCUCACGCUAG